Molecule: long non-coding RNA, 909 nt
Filed under: Olea europaea subsp. europaea
Lineage: Eukaryota; Viridiplantae; Streptophyta; Magnoliopsida; Lamiales; Oleaceae
Source: RNAcentral
UUUAAGGAUUGUAUAGGCGCAAUAGAUGGAACACAUGUUGCAGCUUGGGCUCCUGCAUCGAGACAAACAUCUUUUCGAGGAAGGAAAAUUAAUGUAACACAAAAUGUGAUGUUGACAUGUGAUUUUGAUAUGAAAUUCACAUUUGUGUACUCUGGUUGGGAAGGUACUGCUAAUGAUUCGCGAGUAUUCGUUGAUGCAGUAACAAGAAGCUCGAACAACUUUCCAAUGCCACGAGGAGGUAUAUUCUUAUACUUCAAAUAAUUAUUGUGAAUAUAUUUACAGUGUCACAUUAUGUAAGUCUUUUUUUUAUUUUGCAGAUCAAUUUUACCUUGUUGAUUCUGGAUAUCCAAACAUGCCUGGAUUUCUUGCCCCUUAUCGAGGUCAAAGAUAUCAUCUGCGUGAUUAUGUUGGACGGGGAAGACUACGUGGGAAGGAAGAAGUGUUCAAUUAUAGACACUCCUCGUGCCGUAAUAUUAUUGAACGUUGCAUCGGAGUUUUAAAGGCAAGAUUUCCUAUUUUGAAGUUGAUUACCAAUUAUCCACUCAGUAGGCAAAGACAAAUCCCUACUGCAUGUUGCGCAAUAAACAACUUUAUUCGUCAGGAGCACGCAUUAGAUAAGUUGUUCGUAGAGUAUUCAGAGGAGAAUAUGGUGUUUCAAAACAUACCAGAGUCAAGUCAAGAUCAAGAAGUCAUACAUUUUGAUGCUAGUCAAACUGCUCAAAUGGGACAAGUCAGGGAUCAAAUUGCUACACAAAUGUGGAAUGACUACUCAAGACAUCGUACAUGAUUUCGUGGAUGUAGUUUAAAUUUUGUUUAGUGUCUUUUUGUUUUGCUAUGACACGUAAACUUCUAAUAGUAUCUAUUGAACUGUGUUGCCAAAUUUAAUUUAGGUUGUGUUUUUUAUAUCUG